Molecule: transfer RNA, 74 nt
Organism: Pseudoxanthomonas suwonensis 11-1
Lineage: Bacteria; Pseudomonadati; Pseudomonadota; Gammaproteobacteria; Lysobacterales; Lysobacteraceae
Rfam family: tRNA
About the family: Transfer RNA (tRNA) molecules are approximately 80 nucleotides in length.
Source: Rfam
GGCCCCGUAGCUCAGCUGGAUAGAGCGUCCCCCUCCUAAGGGGAAGGUCGCACGUUCGAAUCGUGUCGGGGCCG